GGGUGCAGUAUUGAGAGAGAGAUGCGGACCGGCAAGGGACCCAGAUGCCCGUGGGAUGGGGGGCGGUAUUGGGAGAGAGACGCGGACCGGCGAGGGACCCAGGCACCUGUGGGGUAGGGGGCGGUAUUGGGAAGGAGAUGCGGACCGGCGAGGGACCCAGGCGUUCGGGGGUGCAGUAUUGGGAGAGAGAUGCGGACUGGGCGAGGGACCCAGAUGCCCGCGGGGUUGGAAGCGGUAUUGGGAGGGAGACGUGGAUCGGGCGAGGGACCCAGGCGUUUGGGGGUGCAGUAUUGGGAGGGAGACGUGGAUCGGGCGAGGGACCCAGACGCCCAUGAGAUAGGGGGAGUAUUGGGAGGGAGAUGUGGACCGGCGAGGGACCCAGGUGUUCGGGGGUGCAGUAUUGAGAGAGAGACGUGGACCGGGCGAGGGACCCAGGCAUUCGAGGGUGCAGUAUUGGGAGGGAGACACGGCCCGGUGAGGGACCCAGAUGCCCGUGGGGUGGGGGGGUAUUGGGAGGGAGACACGGGCCAGGCGAGGGACCCGGGCAUUCGAGGGUGCAGUAUUGGGAGGGAGACACGGCCCGGCAAGGGACCCAGAUGCCCGUGAGGUGGGGGGCAGUAUUGGGAGGGAGACGCGGACCGGGCGAGGGACCCAGAUGCCCGUGGGGU
Molecule: long non-coding RNA, 668 nt
Organism: Gopherus flavomarginatus (Mexican gopher tortoise)
Lineage: Eukaryota; Metazoa; Chordata; Testudines; Testudinidae
Exons: 3
Source: RefSeq, a predicted model, not a curated record